Molecule: transfer RNA, 90 nt
Filed under: Polaribacter sp. Hel1_33_96
Lineage: Bacteria; Pseudomonadati; Bacteroidota; Flavobacteriia; Flavobacteriales; Flavobacteriaceae
Description: tRNA-Leu
Rfam family: tRNA
About the family: Transfer RNA (tRNA) molecules are approximately 80 nucleotides in length. Their secondary structure includes four short double-helical elements and three loops (D, anti-codon, and T loops).
Source: RNAcentral
GCUGAAGUGGUGGAAUUGGUAGACACGCUGGACUUAAAAAUCCAGUGGUCAGUAAUGGCCGUGCGGGUUCAAGUCCCGCCUUCAGUACAA